Molecule: ribosomal RNA, 1441 nt
Filed under: Lactiplantibacillus plantarum
Lineage: Bacteria; Bacillati; Bacillota; Bacilli; Lactobacillales; Lactobacillaceae
Description: bacterial SSU rRNA
Rfam family: Bacterial small subunit ribosomal RNA
Source: RNAcentral
GCAAGUCGAACGAACUCUGGUAUUGAUUGGUGCUUGCAUCAUGAUUUACAUUUGAGUGAGUGGCGAACUGGUGAGUAACACGUGGGAAACCUGCCCAGAAGCGGGGGAUAACACCUGGAAACAGAUGCUAAUACCGCAUAACAACUUGGACCGCAUGGUCCGAGUUUGAAAGAUGGCUUCGGCUAUCACUUUUGGAUGGUCCCGCGGCGUAUUAGCUAGAUGGUGGGGUAACGGCUCACCAUGGCAAUGAUACGUAGCCGACCUGAGAGGGUAAUCGGCCACAUUGGGACUGAGACACGGCCCAAACUCCUACGGGAGGCAGCAGUAGGGAAUCUUCCACAAUGGACGAAAGUCUGAUGGAGCAACGCCGCGUGAGUGAAGAAGGGUUUCGGCUCGUAAAACUCUGUUGUUAAAGAAGAACAUAUCUGAGAGUAACUGUUCAGGUAUUGACGGUAUUUAACCAGAAAGCCACGGCUAACUACGUGCCAGCAGCCGCGGUAAUACGUAGGUGGCAAGCGUUGUCCGGAUUUAUUGGGCGUAAAGCGAGCGCAGGCGGUUUUUUAAGUCUGAUGUGAAAGCCUUCGGCUCAACCGAAGAAGUGCAUCGGAAACUGGGAAACUUGAGUGCAGAAGAGGACAGUGGAACUCCAUGUGUAGCGGUGAAAUGCGUAGAUAUAUGGAAGAACACCAGUGGCGAAGGCGGCUGUCUGGUCUGUAACUGACGCUGAGGCUCGAAAGUAUGGGUAGCAAACAGGAUUAGAUACCCUGGUAGUCCAUACCGUAAACGAUGAAUGCUAAGUGUUGGAGGGUUUCCGCCCUUCAGUGCUGCAGCUAACGCAUUAAGCAUUCCGCCUGGGGAGUACGGCCGCAAGGCUGAAACUCAAAGGAAUUGACGGGGGCCCGCACAAGCGGUGGAGCAUGUGGUUUAAUUCGAAGCUACGCGAAGAACCUUACCAGGUCUUGACAUACUAUGCAAAUCUAAGAGAUUAGACGUUCCCUUCGGGGACAUGGAUACAGGUGGUGCAUGGUUGUCGUCAGCUCGUGUCGUGAGAUGUUGGGUUAAGUCCCGCAACGAGCGCAACCCUUAUUAUCAGUUGCCAGCAUUAAGUUGGGCACUCUGGUGAGACUGCCGGUGACAAACCGGAGGAAGGUGGGGAUGACGUCAAAUCAUCAUGCCCCUUAUGACCUGGGCUACACACGUGCUACAAUGGAUGGUACAACGAGUUGCGAACUCGCGAGAGUAAGCUAAUCUCUUAAAGCCAUUCUCAGUUCGGAUUGUAGGCUGCAACUCGCCUACAUGAAGUCGGAAUCGCUAGUAAUCGCGGAUCAGCAUGCCGCGGUGAAUACGUUCCCGGGCCUUGUACACACCGCCCGUCACACCAUGAGAGUUUGUAACACCCAAAGUCGGUGGGGUAACCUUUUAGGAACCAGCCGCCUAAGGU